UCGUGGUGUAGCAAGGAAAGGGAGAGGAUACGCCUGUUAGACUUCCUGGCCAAACCUUACUCAGUGAUUGUCAUAUCCUCGUUAAAACAUGGCCAUUAGUGUCAUUAAUCGCGUUGGGUAUUGCAAUUUAUCUUUAACACCGCGGAGUAGCUGUAGAGGGCCCAGCGCCCCCCCCUACUUAGGCCUCCCAUAUAUAGACCUAUGCGGUUUCCCCGUGACCUGUGUGCCGAUUUUGUUGACCAGCAGGGCGUGCAGUGCUUCUGAGAGCCCCCGCCCCAGCCCCGAGACCAGCAGGGUGACCCACUGGACUUGAGAAAGGAUCACCCCAUAUCUGCAGAUCCUGGUGGCACCCGACCCGAGCUACUGGUACUGCCGGAACCCCCUGGCUGGCGGAUGAGAUCUUCCUGACGGAUGUGACGGCCAACUUCCUGACUGUGAGGAUCGGGGAGUGCAAGAAGCAGCCGGGGGUUUUCAAGGACAUGACCGACCCAAACCAGAAUUCCCAGUGCUCGAUUAUGUGAUGUGUUGUGAUUGUGAAUAUGUCUUGACUUUGCUGGUGAAGGUUUCCAUGGCAAAUAGGAUCAUACUGAAAAGGUAUUAGCUGGGGGUCUUCAAGGACACGACCGACCCAAACCAGAAAUCCUAGUACUCAAUUAUGUGGUUAUUGUGAAUAUGUCUUGACUUUGCUGGUGAAGGUUUCCAUGGUGAACAGGAUCAUACUGAAAGGAUAUUAGCAUGGAAAGAUAUUGUUGUGCUGUGUUCGUGGGAGUCCCGUAAACAAACAUGUGGGUACAGCUAUUACUGGACGCAAAAUGUUAUUGUAAAGCCUGCUGGAUACAUUUGACAAGCAUAGAAAACCACCUAAAAAUUAUAAGUUAAAACUCUGUCAUCACUUGCAGAAUUGGAAGUCCAAACAAUCUAAACUGAUACUUCAAAGGAAGCUCACAGCCUUGGGAUUACUUUAGGCAUUUGGGUUUGAGUCUUGGUGCAAAGCCAGAUUUUUAAGAAAUUUAUUUAUAAAAUUGUACGGGCCGUGAACACCUCGUGUGUGACCCCCUGCUGCUCACAAGCCGUACACCAAUUAAAAAAAACAUAUUUGUGUCUUUACCGUGGAGCAGCGACGAGCCAAACUUGUGCCAUGAUUUAAACCCAAAAAAAUAGAUGAUACAUAAACUGAUCACAAAUGCUUUGAUAUAUAUUAUGAAAUGGUUUGUGUGAGGGGUGAUUUUUUCUCAUUUUUCUCGCUUAGAGGGACCAUUAAGAAACAUGAUCCCCGCUGCUACCAGGUUGAAAAAAAAAAAACUUCCUAUGGAGAAAACAUAUUCUCUGGGGAAGCUCAAGAGAUACUCCUAGAUGAAGGCCAUUUCCUGAGGAGUAUUAUGCACUCUUUGUUAUGCCUGUUAGGGCAAACACAGAUUUUUAAUUAGUAUUUUCCCACCAGUAGUACUAUGGGUUGUCCACCUCACCCUACAGUUGAAACAAUAUAACAUUUGAAAAACCAUUCUAUUCCACCUUCUGUAUAAAAAGAGAUGUUAUAUGUUUUUUCCUGUUUUAGUCAUGGAAUUUACUAUUAAGCAGAAUAUUGUUGUACACUUGGGCACUUAAACAGGAGGAGGCUUUUCAAACAGGCAAAUGUUGGUGCCCAGAUGUUUAAAAAUGCUGCUUGGAAGUCUGGAAGAGUGACUGGAAUCUGCGACUUCUUAGCUGAUGGGGGCUUCGUGGUGCAGUGGUUAGCACACUCAGCUCACAACCAAGAGAGCACGGGGUCGAUUCCCAGGCGGAGUGGAAAAAUUUGGGCGGCUUUUCUGAUACCCUACGCCCCUGUCCACCCAGCAGUGAAUGGGUGCCAGGUAUUAAUCGGGGGUUGUGUCCCGUCUCCUGGGGUUUGUUCCCUUCUAUAAUUCCUUCCCAUUCUGUCUCUCUCCGGCACAUGACCACAGAUGUUGCGCCCACUAAACAAAACUUUCCAACUUUUUCUCUGGUGAUUCUCUGUACAGGCAGUGGUUCAGAAGGUGUACUAGACUGCCUCCAGCUGACUGUUUGAGGCUCUACCAUGUCUUCCGGUCAUGGUUUUAGGGUUUCCGCCGUCCAUAAGCUUAAGAAAUCUUGUGUACUGUAUUUCCAAGCUUCUGAAAAUGGACCCAAAAUAUAAUACUGAGUGCCUCUCUAAUGUUCAUCUCUAUGUAUAGGGAAGGGAGUUGUAUCAUAGCCUGUUAAGAAUAUUAAGGUGUCUAUUGUGUAUUUCCAGGCCUCUGAAAAUGGACCCAAAAUGUCAGAAUGAGUGCAUGUUGUACCUCUAAUGUUUAUCGCUAUGUAUAGGGAAGGGAGUUGUAUUCACAGAGUUAUAUACAUAGAGGGUUCCCAGAGCCUGGAUUUUGAAGCAACUGGCGGCCAUCUUAGGGUGACGAAUGGCGAGACAGAGAGAAAUUUACUUUCACAUAGUUAUGUCUGCUGUUAUCAGGUCAGCAGUGCCUCAGCGACCCUCUGUCAGAUAGACUUGUUAUUUUCUUGUCCAUUUUCUACCCACUGAUUAUUGUUACAUUGGUACAUGUCAUAUACCAUCUGCAUCGGAAAAACAUGCUCAAUUUGAAACUGUAAACGAAAAUCUAAUACAAUAAAAAGUUCCUGAAUGACAAGUAAUUGAGGCAAAAAAGAUGAACACAAAUGUUUAUACACUACCAUAAUGAUAUGCAGCAAUGUCUCAUGAACACGAUGAUCGGCUCAGUUUUCCAAAAUAUCAUAAUGGUGGCUGGCUAAUAGUGGUUAAGUGUAAACAUGUGGAAUCAUGGAAAGGUCGCCAAUCCGUCACCCUAUGGCAGCCGACCACAGGCAGGAGCAGUGGCUUCACCUCUCACCGUGGCGAGAAAUUGGAGUUGAACCCUCUAGUCUAUAACUCUGUGGUUGUACCAUAUCCUGUUAAGAAUAUUAAGGAGUCUGUUGUGUAUUUCCAGGCCUUGGAAACUGUGACAAUGGACUGAAAACAACAUUGGAAUUAGUGCAAGAUAUACCCCUGAUGUCCUGUUCCUGUUCUUCCCUUGUAUAGAACUAGAGAGAGAGGAGAGAAAGAACAGACAUAGUUAGUGAAGUGAAGCCUUUGUUCAACCUUUCUUAUGCCUGUAGUGAAAAAUAAUAAUAAUAAUAAUAAUAAUAAUAAUAAUAAUAAUAAGAGGAAGAGAUGAUGUUAUGAGCUAUUGUGUUCUUAAGGGCUGAUUAAACUUUGCUGGUAUCGGAA
Eriocheir sinensis (Chinese mitten crab) is the source of this 3232-nucleotide long non-coding RNA. RefSeq lists it as uncharacterized. The record is from RefSeq and is a predicted model, not a curated record. The transcript has 3 exons. NCBI's taxonomy places the organism in Eukaryota, Metazoa, Arthropoda, Malacostraca, Decapoda, Varunidae.